GUGGGGAAUAUUGGACAAUGGGCGAAAGCCUGAUCCAGCCAUGCCGCGUGUGUGAAGAAGGUCUUCGGAUUGUAAAGCACUUUAAGUUGGGAGGAAGGGCAGUAAGUUAAUACCUUGCUGUUUUGACGUUACCGACAGAAUAAGCACCGGCUAACUUCGUGCCAGCAGCCGCGGUAAUACGAAGGGUGCAAGCGUUAAUCGGAAUUACUGGGCGUAAAGCGCGCGUAGGUGGUUUUGUAAGUUGGAGGUGAAAUCCCCGGGCUCAACAUGGGAACUGCCUCCAAAACUGCAUGACUAGAGUACGGUAGAGGGUAGUGGAAUUUCCUGUGUAGCGGUGAAAUGCGUAGAUAUAGGAAGGAACACCAGUGGCGAAGGCGACUACCUGGACUGAUACUGACACUGAGGUGCGAAAGCGUGGGGAGCAAACAGGAUUAGAUACCCCGGUAGUCC
Molecule: ribosomal RNA, 450 nt
Filed under: uncultured bacterium
Lineage: Bacteria
Description: bacterial SSU rRNA
Rfam family: Bacterial small subunit ribosomal RNA
Source: RNAcentral